Molecule: non-coding RNA, 30 nt
Filed under: Rattus norvegicus (Norway rat)
Lineage: Eukaryota; Metazoa; Chordata; Mammalia; Rodentia; Muridae
Source: RNAcentral
CUUGUUGUUACCAUUGUUGGAACCCAAGGU